AUUGAACGCUGGCGGCAUGCCUAACACAUGCAAGUCGAACGGGGGUAGUGAUACCUCAGUGGCGGACGGGUGAGGAAGGCGUAGGAAUCGGCCCACGAGUGGGGGACAACCUGGGGAAACUCAGGCUAAUACCGCAUGAGCUCGGGAGAGGAAAGCGGGGGGACCUUCGGGCCUCGCGCUGGUGGACGAGCCUACGUCCGAUUAGCUGGUUGGUGGGGUAAGGGCUCACCAAGGCGACGAUCGGUAGCGGGUCUGAGAGGACGACCCGCCACACUGGGACUGAGACACGGCCCAGACUCCUACGGGAGGCAGCAGUGGGGAAUCUUGGACAAUGGGCGCAAGCCUGAUCCAGCAAUGCCGCGUGGGUGAAGACGGCCUGCGGGUUGUAAGCCUUUAGGCGGGAGGAACGACUAGGUGCUAACACCAUCUGGGAGUGACGUUACCCGCGGAAUAAGCACCGGCUAACUCCGUGCCAGCAGCCGCGGUAAU
RNAcentral lists this ribosomal RNA (489 nucleotides) under uncultured bacterium. RNAcentral describes it as "bacterial SSU rRNA". It matches the Rfam family "Bacterial small subunit ribosomal RNA", at positions 28 to 524 of the family's 1533-position model. The record is from RNAcentral.